Molecule: transfer RNA, 63 nt
Filed under: Rattus norvegicus (Norway rat)
Lineage: Eukaryota; Metazoa; Chordata; Mammalia; Rodentia; Muridae
Rfam family: tRNA
About the family: Transfer RNA (tRNA) molecules are approximately 80 nucleotides in length. Their secondary structure includes four short double-helical elements and three loops (D, anti-codon, and T loops). Further hydrogen bonds mediate the characteristic L-shaped molecular structure. tRNAs have two regions of fundamental functional importance: the anti-codon, which is responsible for specific mRNA codon recognition, and the 3' end, to which the tRNAs corresponding amino acid is attached (by aminoacyl-tRNA synthetases). tRNAs cope with the degeneracy of the genetic code in two manners: having more than one tRNA (with a specific anti-codon) for a particular amino acid; and 'wobble' base-pairing, i.e. permitting non-standard base-pairing at the 3rd anti-codon position.
Source: Rfam by way of RNAcentral
GGGGAUUUGGCUCAGUGGUAGAGCGCUUGCCUAGGAAGCGCAAGGUCCUGGGUUCAAUCUCCA